This 861-nucleotide long non-coding RNA is filed under the name Manihot esculenta (cassava). Its description in RNAcentral is "long non-coding RNA (MESC_LNC003937)". The record is from RNAcentral. Lineage: Eukaryota; Viridiplantae; Streptophyta; Magnoliopsida; Malpighiales; Euphorbiaceae.
AUCACUAGGUCUAGGUCAAGCAACAACUAUUACAUCUCUUUAAUAUUACAUGUCCACUCUAAGCUAUUACAGAUCUCUUUACUCUUCCUGUACUCUGCUGGACUGUCCCUGUACACUGUACACUGAACCUGCAAAACUGGGGUUAAGGGAGUGGGAUGAGCUCUAUAGCCCAGUGAGUAGAACAGUAAAACAUCUCAGUAAAAUAUGAUCUCAUGGAAUGCACCAUAUCACAGACAAGCCACAUCAAGAGUAAACCUGUCACCACAUAGUCCCAGUAACUCUGUGCCAGGGCGUAGUCAAAGGCUCCUGGACUUCCUGUCAUAUAUGUAUAUGUGUAUAUAACACCAUUGUACUUACCAUUGCCAGGGCGUAGUCAAAGGCUCCUGGACUUUACUAUAUACCUGCCAGGGCGUAGUCAAAGGCUCCUGGACUUUGCUAUACUUGCCAGGGCGUAGUCAAAGGCUCCUGGACUUCCUGUCUGAGACUAUUGGAUCAUUCAGCAUUCACUCGCAUCACCAAAUAAUAAUGCAAUGCAACAUAUUCGUGAAUACUAAUGCAAUCAACCUAUGGCAUAAACAUGAUGCAUGAGAUAUGCUAAAAGCAGUUUGUGGUUCAAUUAAAAAUCAUCAGUCUUAAGUUUAGUUCCACUCACCUCUGGCUGUCUGGACUGACUGACUCUGCAGGUUCUGAACCUCUGGAGCAGUACUCACUGCUGCUCUCUCUGGUUCCUCUGGUCUGUAUAAGCACAUAAAGACUCAAAUGAGGGACCAAACAAGCUUAUGACCAACUCUAUUAAACUCCCCAAGAAUCCCCUUACACUCACUCAACUAUCCAUGUAACACAUGUAAAAGAAAGCUGGAC